UUUCCUUUCUCUUUGACUUGAGUGUCAUUGCCAUGACAGCAAGGGGCCACACCUCCUAAUUUUCUCUUAGACCUUGGCUCUAAUCGUCAUCAUACCACCAUCGCCAUCGACCCCAUCCCCUCCUUCUCCUCUCUGCCCUCUCCCUUAUUGAAACUCCUGUUCGACUUGGGAAAAAAGAAAGAAAGAGAGAGAAAGAAUGAAAGAAUGAAAGAAUGAAAAAUAAGGAAAGAAAGAGAGAGAGG
Molecule: long non-coding RNA, 242 nt
Filed under: Elaeis guineensis (African oil palm)
Lineage: Eukaryota; Viridiplantae; Streptophyta; Magnoliopsida; Arecales; Arecaceae
Description: long non-coding RNA (EGUI_LNC012114)
Source: RNAcentral